This 658-nucleotide ribosomal RNA is filed under the name Bacillus amyloliquefaciens. Its description in RNAcentral is "bacterial SSU rRNA". It matches the Rfam family "Bacterial small subunit ribosomal RNA", at positions 269 to 918 of the family's 1533-position model. The record is from RNAcentral. Lineage: Bacteria; Bacillati; Bacillota; Bacilli; Caryophanales; Bacillaceae.
CAAGGCGACGAUGCGUAGCCGACNUGAGAGGGUGAUCGGCCACACUGGGACUGAGACACGGCCCAGACUCCUACGGGAGGCACCAGUAGGGAAUCUUCCGCAAUGGACGAAAGUCUGACGGAGCAACGCCGCGUGAGUGAUGAAGGUCUUCGGAUCGUAAAGCUCUGUUGUUAGGGAGAACAAGUGCCGUUCAAAUAGGGCGCACCUUGACGGUACCUAACCAGAAAGCCACGGCUAACUACGUGCCAGCAGCCGCGGUAACACGUAGGUGGCAAGCGUUGUCCGGAAUUAUUGGGCGUAAAGGGCUCGCAGGCGGUUUCUUAAGUCUGAUGUGAAAGCCCCCGGCUCAACCGGGGAGGGUCAUUGGAAACUGGGGAACUUGAAGUGCAGAAGAGGAGAGUGGAAUUCCACGUGUAGCGGUGAAAUGCGUAGAGAUGUGGAGGAACACCAGUGGCGAAGGCGACUCUCUGGUCNGUAACUGACGCUGAGGAGCGAAAGCGUGGGGAGCGAACAGGAUUAGAUACCCUGGUAGUCCACGCCGUAAACGAUGAGUGCUAAGUGUUAGGGGGUUACCGCCCCUUAGUGNUGCAGCUAACGCAUUAAGCACUCCGCCUGGGGAGUACGGUCGCAAGACUGAAACUCAAAGGAAUUGACGGGG